RNAcentral lists this small RNA (3129 nucleotides) under Pongo abelii (Sumatran orangutan). RNAcentral's name for it is "retained intron". The record is from RNAcentral. Lineage: Eukaryota; Metazoa; Chordata; Mammalia; Primates; Hominidae.
GCGCCCCCGCCGCCGCCGAGACGCCCUGCGCCUUCGCCUUCUCCUUCUCCGCCCCCGGGCCGGGGCCCGCGCCGCCGCCCCCGCUGCCCGCCUUCCCCGAGGCGCCCGGCUCCGAGCCCAUCUGCUGUCCGCUGGCCUUCAGGGUGGACCCGUUCACCGACUACGGCUCCUCGCUCACCGUCACGCUACCGCCCGAGCUGCAGGCGCACCAGCCCUUCCAGGUCAUCCUGCGGUACACCUCGACUGACGCCCCCGCCAUCUGGUGGCUGGACCCAGAGCUGACCUAUGGCUGCGCCAAGCCCUUCGUCUUCACCCAGGGCCACUCCGUGUGCAACCGCUCCUUCUUCCCAUGCUUCGACACGCCUGCCGUGAAGUGCACCUACUCUGCCGUCGUCAAGGCGCCAUCAGGGGUGCAGGUGCUGAUGAGUGCCACCCGGAGUGCAUACAUGGAGGAAGAAGGCGUCUUCCACUUCCACAUGGAGCACCCCGUGCCCGCCUACCUCGUGGCCCUGGUGGCCGGAGACCUCAAGCCGGCAGACAUUGGGCCCAGGAGCCGCGUGUGGGCCGAGCCGUGCCUCCUGCCCACGGCCACCAGCAAGCUGUCGGGCGCAGUGGAGCAGUGGCUGAGUGCAGCUGAGCGGCUGUAUGGGCCCUACAUGUGGGGCAGGUAGGCCCCGGGGACCUGUGGACCUGGCUGGCUGGAAGGAGGAGUCAGAGGGGGAGCCCCUCGUCUGACCCCUGGGGUGUCCUGUCCCCAUCUCCUGGGGAGGAAGCGGAGCUCACUGCAGGGGCUAGGCUGAUCCCUGCUGGGUGGAAGGUGGGGUGUGGGUGUGCGGGGCGGGAGUCUGAGCCCCAAGGUCUGCCACCCUCACCGCCCUCCUGGUGCAGGUACGACAUUGUCUUCCUGCCACCCUCCUUCCCCAUCGUGGCCAUGGAGAACCCCUGCCUCACCUUCAUCAUCUCCUCCAUCCUGGAGAGCGAUGAGUUCCUGGUCAUCGAUGUCAUCCACGAGGUGGCCCACAGCUGGUUCGGCAACGCUGUCACCAAUGCCACGUGGGAAGAGAUGUGGCUGAGCGAGGGCCUGGCCACCUAUGCCCAGCGCCGCAUCACCACCGAGACCUAUGGUGCGGCUGGGGCUGGGGAGGGCAGCCACUGGGGGCCCUGGGCACUGAGCCAGGGGCAGAGAGCCUAGCCUGGCUCCCCUGCCAUGCUGCAGGUACCCACACCUCCUGCUUCCCCCGACUCCCCCCACACCCCCUCACCUCCCCUCUGUCUCUGGACCCCAUCCAGGUGCUGCCUUCACCUGCCUGGAGACUGCCUUCCGCCUGGACGCCCUGCACCGGCAGAUGAAGCUUCUGGGAGAGGACAGCCCGGUCAGCAAACUGCAGGUCAAGCUGGAGCCAGGAGUGAAUCCCAGCCACCUGAUGAACCUGUUCACCUACGAGAAGGGCUACUGCUUCGUGUACUACCUGUCCCAGCUCUGCGGAGACCCACAGCGCUUUGAUGACUUUCUCCGAGCCUACGUGGAGAAGUACAAGUUCACCAGCGUGGUGGCCCAGGACCUGCUGGACUCCUUCCUGAGCUUCUUCCCGGAGCUGAAGGAGCAGAGCGUGGACUGCCGGGCAGGGCUGGAAUUCGAGCGCUGGCUCAAUGCCACAGGCCCGCCGCUGGCUGAGCCGGACCUGUCUCAGGGAUCCAGCCUGACCCGGCCCGUGGAGGCCCUUUUCCAGCUGUGGACUGCAGAACCUCUGGACCAGGCAGCUGCCUCGGCCAGCGCCAUUGACAUCUCCAAGUGGAGGACCUUCCAGACAGCACUCUUCCUGGACCGGCUCCUGGAUGGGUCCCCACUGCCACAGGAGGUGGUGAUGAGCCUGUCCAAGUGCUACUCCUCCCUGCUGGACUCGAUGAACGCUGAGAUCCGCAUCCGCUGGCUGCAGAUCGUGGUCCGCAACGACUACUAUCCUGACCUCCACAGGGUGCGGCGCUUCCUGGAGAGCCAGAUGUCACGCAUGUACACCAUCCCGCUGUACGAGGACCUCUGCACUGGUGCCCUCAAGUCCUUCGCGCUGGAGGUCUUCUACCAGACGCAGGGCCGGCUGCACCCCAACCUGCGCAGAGCCAUCCAGCAGAUCCUGUCCCAGGGCCUGGGCUCCAGCACAGAGCCCGCCUCAGAGCCCAGCACAGAGCUGGGCAAGGCUGAAGCAGACACAGACUCAGACGCACAGGCCCUGCUGCUUGGGGAUGAGGCCCCCAGCAGUGCCAUCUCUCUCAGGGACGUCAAUGUGUCUGCCUAGCCCUGUUGGCGGGCUGACCCUCGACCUCCCAGACACCACAAUUGUGCCUUCUGUGGGCCAGGCCUGCCAUGACUGCGCCUCGGCUCUGGCCAUGAGCUCUGCCCAGGCCCACGAGCCCCUCCCCUGGGCUCUCCCAGGCAGGGAGAAUGGGGAGAGGGACCUCCUUGUGUCUGGCAGAGACCUGUGGACCUGGCCUCCCCACUCCCAGCUCUCUUGCACUGCAGGCCCUGGGGCCAGCCCGCACACGCCAUGCCUCCUGUCUCAACACUGACAGCUGUGCCUAGUCCCGGACGCCAGCACCUGCCAGGUGCCGCCCCUGGGGCAAGGGCCCCAGCAGCCCUAUGGUGACCGCCACACUGUGCCUUAAUGUCUGCCGGGGGCCCAGGCUGUGCUGUCCCUGCAGCACGCCUCCUUGCAGGGAUCUGAGCCACCCUCCCCGCACAGCCCUGCACCCCGCCCCUGGGGUUGGCAGCCUCAGUUGGCCCCUGGCAGAGGAACAAGGACACAGACAUUCCCUCAGUGUGGGGGCAGGGGACACAGGGAGAGGAUGGUUGUCCCUGGGGAGGGCCCUCUGGCCCCAGGCAACCUUAGCCCCUCAGAACAGGGAGUCCCAGGACCCAGGGAGAGUGUGGGGACAGGACAGCCUGUCUCUUGCAGCUUCCUGGGGCGGGAGGCACAUGGGCAAAGCAAUACCCCAGGGAAAGUGGGAGGUGGUGCUGGUGCUCUCUCUAGGCCCACCAUGCUGGGAGAGGCGGCCGGGGCCUGGGGCCUCCAGCCUGGGACUGCUGUGAUGGGGUAUCACGGUGAUGGUCCCAUUAAACUUCCACUCUGCAAA